AAGAGCCCGGGGGGGGGAUGACGUCACUGAAGCCAGAGAGGAGCCAUGUCCUUCCUGGGCGCUGGGAUGGGAAAUGGAAGCUUUGGUUGAGGGCACUGGCAAGCCUGACAGGAAUAAAGCUGACAGAAUGGCGAAAAAGCCUCCAAGAUCAAGUUCUGAAUCUUUGAGGAGUACUGGAUACAACUCUCCUUGAGAGAACUCCAGAGAACUGUAUUCUAGAAAGAAAACACCCUGUUUUGCACUCACCGCCUCCACCAGGCUGUCUGCGCUGCCCCGCUUGUCGUAGCUGUGCUUGAGCGGGCCAGGCACAUGGAGAUGGCUGUAGGUGCGAUAGGGCAUCUCCGGCUCAUUCAUGUACCAUCUUGCCCGUGACAUGGGCGGAAGGCUGCUGUUCUUCUCCCAGCUGUGCCCAGGCAGCUCAUCCCCUUCCACCAGGAUUAGCGGGGCAUAAAGCAGACGGCUCCGCUUUGGUGGCGUUGCCCAUGAUUGGGAGGAAGCUGUGGAGUUGCGGCCACCACUCUGCCAUGAGUCAUAGCUGCCAUAGCCCUGGUAUGGAGGAAAGAGGAGGCAAGGUGAAGCUGGGUGCUAUAGUUCCAACAGCACUGUCAUUAGGCUGUGCACACAAGUUGUAGACUUCAAUUCUUCAAGAACACAGAUUGCAUCAAGUUAUGGACUUUAACUCUUCGACAAUACAGAAAGCACCAAAACUGAAGCAAGAAGCAACAUGAUACCAUCAGACCAUACACAACACAUAGUCUUAUCCUGGUUGACAUGGUGCAGCUGCAAAACUCUCUUGUCACACUCUAUUAUUAAUCAAUUUUAGUAUACUAUUAACAUAAUUUAUUGUAUUUUUUGGUGGUGGUGGUGGGGAACAGUUCCAGUGUGGUGUGAUGGCUAGGAUAUUGACUAGACAAACCCAAAUUCAGAUCCCAUCCACAGGUUGCAAGAAGUUCACAGGAAGAGUUAGGACACACUCUCAGCUUCCCACCCUGCAUGUGAAACUCUGGAAGUUAUUGGAACUGAAAUCAAGCUCACAUCAACAAUAGCUGGAAGCAAAGGAUUUAUUCUGGCUUUCCAAAUCACUGAAAAAUAACAGCUAUGAAGGAUUUCCCACGCAAGUAACCUGUAAUAUAACCCCCAACUCCCAUCCGCCCUCUGUGCCCACAGUCUAUUCACUGCAAUUCCUAAUUCCCUUUCCCCACCUCCCUUCUAUAUGGCAGAGAUCCAAAGCAGCCAGUCCCAGGCUGCUCCGGUGAUCCUGACACUGCAUCUUCUCUAGGUGGGAAAGGUUUAGCAUGAGGAUACAGACACAAUCAAUCUGGGUUAGGAACUGCUGUGCCCCAGAUGUUGUUAGAUGGCAACUCUUUGCAUCCAUGCCACGGUUACAGCCAUGUUGGCAGAAGCUUAUGGGGACUGGAGUCCAACAAUUGAAGGACCAUAUGUUACUCACCACUGUAAUAGUUUAAUGCAGAAAUAACAAAGGGGAAAUUUUGUAACUAUUCUCACAUUUGCCUGGGCAGUGGGAAAAAGAAAGGUUCUCUGAAUUAGAGAUGACAGCUUUGGGGCUUAGGACUAAGGCCUAAGACAAGAGAAGAAAAUUCUUUAUAGAACCCAGGAUGACCUGCAAUGGCCAUGUAGUAGUCCAACGGUACUUCAGCAGGACACUGGCCACAUUGGGACUGUUUGUUUUCUCAGAGUUGGCUAUACUGAUUAGGGAGGGCAGGCCUUGCAGUUCAACAGCAACUAGCAAAUUGUGUGCUUUUCCCCUCUCAGGUGACUCACACUCCGAAAAGAGGAACGUAGCACACAUUUUGCAAGAAUUACUGAAAGAAGUGGGCAAUUGGAUUUCAUAGCACCACAGACUGAGAGCAAGACGUUUGUAGCAUAAGCACUGAAGCUUAUAGACUGAAUCUGUGAAAGCAUGUGCGACAAACACUUUUCUCUCAAUUUGUCUCAGAGGUACUACAAGAUCCCUGGAUAGCAAACCAACAUUUGAAAACAACCAUGAAAGUGACUUAGUCAACUAGAUAAAGAUUGGAAUGUAAUUUCUUCAUUUAUUUCAUUUUUGCAUGCAAGAACAUAUAACUUCAAAUAUUUUCUCUGGACUGGGCAAAAUUAGAGUUUUUGCACGUUUGGGACAAUCUUUUAUAUUUGGGACUAUUUAUGAUUUGAAAAAAUCCUGAAAAACCCUCAAUGAUUGGCAAUUUGUUUGGACAUCUUUACCUGAGGAUGAGAAAAAGAACAUUUCUAGAAAAAGCAGCCCUGAAGUAUGCUGUUGUGUCCUGUGCUUUGAGUGCAGAUAGCACACCAAUCAUGCAUUUGAAAUGGGAUAUUCAGUCCACUGAAUUUGGAGGGUCCUUUGGAUCUGUUUUCAGUUUGAGGACACAUAAAGCCAUCAUAUGGAAGAGUAAACAGUAAACAGUAAGAAAA
Anolis carolinensis (green anole) is the source of this 2430-nucleotide long non-coding RNA. RefSeq lists it as uncharacterized. Lineage: Eukaryota; Metazoa; Chordata; Lepidosauria; Squamata; Anolidae. The transcript is spliced from 2 exons. The record is from RefSeq and is a predicted model, not a curated record.